This 522-nucleotide ribosomal RNA is filed under the name uncultured bacterium. RNAcentral's name for it is "bacterial SSU rRNA". It matches the Rfam family "Bacterial small subunit ribosomal RNA", at positions 9 to 526 of the family's 1533-position model. The record is from RNAcentral.
GAGUUUGAUCCUGGCUCAGGAUGAACGCUGGCGGCGCGCCUAACACAUGCAAGUCGAACGGCACCCCUCUCCGGAGGGAAGCGAGUGGCGAACGGCUGAGUAACACGUGGAGAACCUGCCCCCUCCCCCGGGAUAGCCGCCCGAAAGGACGGGUAAUACCGGAUACCCCCGGGCGCCGCAUGGCACCCGGGCUAAAGCCCCGACGGGAGGGGAUGGCUCCGCGGCCCAUCAGGUAGACGGCGGGGUGACGGCCCACCGUGCCGACAACGGGUAGCCGGGUUGAGAGACCGACCGGCCAGAUUGGGACUGAGACACGGUCCAGACUCCUACGGGAGGCAGCAGUGGGGAAUCUUCCGCAAUGGGCGAAAGCCUGACGGAGCAACGCCGCGUGAGUGAUGACGGCCUUCGGGUUGUAAAACUCUGUGAUCCGGGACGAAAAGGCAGAGUGCGAAGAACAAACUGCAUUGACGGUACCGGAAAAGCAAGCCACGGCUAACUACGUGCCAGCCGCCGCGGUAAUUC